This 441-nucleotide ribosomal RNA is filed under the name uncultured bacterium. Its description in RNAcentral is "partial 16S ribosomal RNA". It matches the Rfam family "Bacterial small subunit ribosomal RNA", at positions 338 to 795 of the family's 1533-position model. The record is from RNAcentral.
CCUACGGGUGGCAGCAGUGGGGAAUAUUGCACAAUGGGGGAAACCCUGAUGCAGCGACGCCGCGUGAGGGAGGAAGUAUUUCGGUAUGUAAAGCUCUAUCAGCAGAGACGAAAAUAGCCGGUACCAGCCUAAGAACCCCCGGCUAACUACGUCCCAGCAGCCGCGGUAAUACGGAGGGGGCAAGGGUUAUCCGGAUAUACUGGGGGUAAAGGGAGCGUAGCCGGCAAGGCAAGCCAGAAGUGAAAGGCUAGGGCUCAACACUGUACAUGCAUUUGAAACGGUGGUGCUGGAGUGCAGGAGAGGUAAGUGGAAUUCCUGGUGUAGCGGUGAAAUGCGUAGAUAUUAGGAGGAACACCAGUGGCGAAGGCGGCUUACUGGACUGUAACUGACGUUGAUGCUCGAAAGCGUGGGGAGCAAACAGGAUUAGAUACCCUGGUAGUC